Molecule: ribosomal RNA, 253 nt
Filed under: uncultured bacterium
Lineage: Bacteria
Description: partial 16S ribosomal RNA
Rfam family: Bacterial small subunit ribosomal RNA
Source: RNAcentral
UACGGGGGGGGCAAGCGUUGUUCGGAAUUACUGGGCGUAAAGCGUGCGCAGGCGGUUCGCUAAGACCGAUGUGAAAUCCCCGGGCUUAACCUGGGAACUGCAUUGGUGACUGGCGGGCUAGAGUAUGGCAGAGGGGGGUAGAAUUCCACGUGUAGCAGCGAAAUGCGUAGAGAUGUGGAGGAAUACCGGUGGCGAAGGCAGCCCCCUGGGCCAAUACUGACGCUCAUGCACGAAAGCGUGGGGAGCAAACAGG